CAGCGCCACAAGUGGGGGCCAUGAUUAUUGGGCCUAAAGCGUUCGUAGCUGGUUUUGUAAAUCUUUUGUGAAAUCGUUGUGCUCAACACAACGGCGUGCUCAAGAGACUGUCAAACUAGGAACCGGGAGGAGUCAGAGGUAUGCACGGGGGAGCGGUAAAAUGCAAUAAUCCCUUGCAGACCACCUGUGGCGAAGGCGUCUGACUAGAACGGAUUCGACGGUGAGGGACGAAAGCCAGGGGAGCGAACCGGAUUAGAGACCCGAGUAGUCC
Molecule: ribosomal RNA, 271 nt
Filed under: uncultured archaeon
Lineage: Archaea
Description: partial 16S ribosomal RNA
Rfam family: Archaeal small subunit ribosomal RNA
Source: RNAcentral